UACGGGGGGGGCAAGCGUUGUUCGGAAUUACUGGGCGUAAAGGGCUCGUAGGUGGCCAACUAAGUCGGACGUGAAAUCCCCAGGCUCAACUUGGGAACUGCAUCCGAUACUGGAUGGCUUGAAUUCGGGAGAGGGAUGCAGAAUUCCAGGUGUAGCGGUGAAAUGCGUAGAUAUCUGGAGGAAUACCGGUGGCGAAGGCGGCAUCCUGGACCGACAUUGACGCUGAGGAGCGAAAGCUAGGGGAGCAAACGGG
This 253-nucleotide ribosomal RNA is filed under the name uncultured bacterium. Its description in RNAcentral is "partial 16S ribosomal RNA". It matches the Rfam family "Bacterial small subunit ribosomal RNA", at positions 524 to 776 of the family's 1533-position model. The record is from RNAcentral.